AGAGUUGAUCCUGGCUUAGGAUUAACGCUGGCGGCAUGCCUAAUACAUGCAAGUCGAAUGGGGAGCUUGCUUCCCAUGGCGAACGGGUGAGUAAUACGUAGGUAACCUACCUUUAGGACGAGGAUAACCUUUGGAAACGAAGGAUAAUACUGGAUAGUAUAGAUUUCCGCAUGGAGAUAUAUUUAAAGAUUUAUCACCCAGAGAGGGGCCUGCGGUGCAUUAGCUAGUUGGCGGGAUAAAAGCCCACCAAGGCGAUGAUGCAUAGCCGGACUGAGAGGUUGUACGGCCACAAUGGAACUGAGAACGGUCCAUACUCCUACGGGAGGCAGCAGUAGGGAAUUUUCGGCAAUGGGCGGAAGCCUGACCGAGCCAAUGCCGCGUGAAUGAUGAAGUAUUUCGGUAUGUAAAGUUCUUUUAUCUAGGAAGAAAAAACAAAUUGACGGUACUAGAUGAAUAAGCUCCGGCUAACUACGUGCCAGCAGCCGC
This 486-nucleotide ribosomal RNA is filed under the name uncultured bacterium. Its description in RNAcentral is "bacterial SSU rRNA". It matches the Rfam family "Bacterial small subunit ribosomal RNA", at positions 8 to 518 of the family's 1533-position model. The record is from RNAcentral.